GGGUUGUAAGCCCUUUUGUUGGGAAAGAAAUCCUGCCGGUUAAUAACCAGUAGGGAUGACGGUACCCAAAGAAUAAGCACCGGCUAACUUCGUGCCAGCAGCCGCGGUAAUACGAAGGGUGCAAGCGUUACUCGGAAUUACUGGGCGUAAAGCGUGCGUAGGUGGUUGUUUAAGUCUGUUGUGAAAGCCCUGGGCUCAACCUGGGAAUUGCAAUGGAUACUGGGCGACUAGAGUGUGGUAGAGGACAGUGGAAUUUCCGGUGUAGCAGUGAAAUGCGUAGAGAUCGGAAGGAACAUCUGUGGCGAAGGCGACUGUCUGGGCCAACACUGACACUGAGGCACGAAAGCGUGGGGAGCAAACAGGAUUAGAUACCCUGGUAGUCC
Molecule: ribosomal RNA, 383 nt
Filed under: uncultured bacterium
Lineage: Bacteria
Description: bacterial SSU rRNA
Rfam family: Bacterial small subunit ribosomal RNA
Source: RNAcentral